This 1734-nucleotide unclassified non-coding RNA is filed under the name Zea mays. RNAcentral's name for it is "misc RNA Zm00001eb271800". Lineage: Eukaryota; Viridiplantae; Streptophyta; Magnoliopsida; Poales; Poaceae. The record is from RNAcentral.
UGCUAACACCAGAGCUGCAGACAGAUAUGCUCUGCUGCCAAGUCAGUCGCCUAGUCACGCCACAGCUCGUCGUUCAUCAAAGGAGACGCUCAAACAUGUGUGUAUUCAGUUCAGUUUCAGUCCAACGCGGUUUUGGUUGGUCCUCCGAGCUGACGCUGGUUUGGGCAGGCCAUCAAGCAACGGUCGGGUGAAGGAGUCAUGGCUGAACGUCCACUUGGAACUUGACCACAUAGAGACUCCAUUGUCAGCAUCCGCAAAGCUGGGCGCGCUCGGGGACUUCCUCACAGUCACAGAUCUGAAGCCGCUCUUCUGGCUGGAACCUGGGCUGCCUGCAUACGUGUCUAGACGGACGCUGGAAAUCAACAGACUCUUGAUCGCCUUCACUAGAAAAUCACCCUGGGCGUUAGACUCUGCUUCCACUUUCUGUCGCCGCCGCAUAGAACCAUCUUGCUCUGGUUUCGGUGCCCCGCCAUCGCCCUCGGUCGCUGAAAAGCCUAGCGCUUCAAAAUUCCAGCUGCUGUCGGUGCCUGGAGCUGCGGAAGGAUUGAGCAAUGUUUCGCUGAGGUUACUCUGGAAGCCGCCGCCCUUAUGGUACACAGACAGUUCAGUGCUGCUAUCCAUGGUAUUUCCUCCUUUCUGAGGUGGUGUUAGGCCAUAGUAUCUCUGCAAGGUAUUCAUUGCAGAUGACGCACCCUGCUGACGAGACUUGGGCGCGUCUCUCUUUUGCCGAUGGUUUGGAGCACACGUUCUACAGAAAAAAAAAUGAGUAUAAAUGUCCCAGUCUGAUAUGAUAUGGCAAUAUACAGUUGAUCCAGUUAUCUCUGCAGCUAAUUCAAAACUAACACAAGUUAACAGAUUCUGGGCAUGGUUUCUCCAAUAAGAUUGAGAGAGAUGUACCUUAUCGUUCUUUGACCACAAGCAUUCAGGGAUGGCAUGGGCAUUCCUGGUAGAGGUAUGAGCAGCGAUUUGUGUGCAAACAUCUGGCUGUCAGUUACCAAACUGUUUGCCCUUUUGAUGUCAGAUAUCUACAGGUAAUAAUAAAAGAAGUAGAUCUUUAACACAACAACUCAAAGAAGAAGUUUUUCACAGUUGUUUACGUUUGCGGAUUUAUGUAGUAAGAAAUAAAACAGAUGACGCAAAGAGCUGGAGAUUCUUUUGACAUAUGGUUGCCAAGAAACGAGGAAAAGUUGGAGUUUUUGGCGAACAGCAUGAGAUCUCCUCUUCCAUCUCGCGGGCGAGGGGGGGGUGUAGAGGCUUUUACCCACCACCACCAACCAACCAACCAAAGCGGAGAAGGCGACUAUUGCUGGAUGAAUGAUGAAUACCUCGACGCCGUACUUGAUGGCGAUGCCGGCGAGCGUGUCCAUCCUAGUAACCUCGUGCUCCAGGAGGUGGCGGUGGGCGAGCGGCGAUGAGGGAGGCGUCGUAUCCGGCGAGAGGACGGCGCCGCGGAGGGCGUCGUACUCGUCGGAGAGAGGGUGGGAGAUUCCCAUGGCGAGGUGAGCAGCAAGUUAAGUCAGGGCCGGGGAUGCGCUGGAUGAUGGGCAGAGCAGAUCAGAGGUGUGGGGUUCUGCCUUCCUGGGAUGGCAAAUUGACGCGCGUGGAGGAGAAGGGGAAGGAGAACGAAGGUUGGUGCGGGUGAGGCCUGCGUCGCCGUCGGUGGAACGAGAGGAGAAAAGGCGCGCCUUUUCUUUUCUUGUGUUGCAGGUGCAGCCUGCCGUUUGCCGAAAUGCU